UACGGGGGGGGCAAGCGUUGUUCGGAAUUAUUGGGCGUAAAGGGCCUGUAGGCGGCCAACUAAGUCGGAUGUGAAAUCCCCAGGCUCAACUUGGGAACUGCAUCCGAUACUGGAUGGCUUGAAUUCGGGAGAGGGAUGCAGAAUUCCAGGUGUAGCGGUGAAAUGCGUAGAUAUCUGGAGGAAUACCGGUGGCGAAGGCGGCAUCCUGGACCGACAUUGACGCUGAACGGCGAAAGCUAGGGGAGCAAACGGG
Molecule: ribosomal RNA, 253 nt
Filed under: uncultured bacterium
Lineage: Bacteria
Description: partial 16S ribosomal RNA
Rfam family: Bacterial small subunit ribosomal RNA
Source: RNAcentral